ACUUUUAAAGGGUAGAAGUAAUCCAUUGGUUUUAGAAACCAUCAACCCUUGGUGCAAAUCCAAGUAAAAGUU
Chrysemys picta bellii (western painted turtle) is the source of this 72-nucleotide non-coding RNA. NCBI's taxonomy places the organism in Eukaryota, Metazoa, Chordata, Testudines, Emydidae. The record is from Ensembl.